Molecule: ribosomal RNA, 830 nt
Filed under: uncultured bacterium
Lineage: Bacteria
Description: bacterial SSU rRNA
Rfam family: Bacterial small subunit ribosomal RNA
Source: RNAcentral
GAACGGGAUUGGGAGCUUGCUCCCAUGAGAGUGGCGCACGGGUGAGUAACGCGUAUGCAACCUACCUUUAACUGAGGGAUAGCCCAUAGAAAUGUGGAUUAAUACCUCAUAGUUCUUUUUGUCCGCAUGGACAGAUAGAUAAAGCUCCGGCGGUUAAAGAUGGGCAUGCGUGACAUUAGCUAGUUGGUAAGGUAACGGCUUACCAAGGCUACGAUGUCUAGGGGUUCUGAGAGGAUGAUCCCCCACACUGGUACUGAGACACGGACCAGACUCCUACGGGAGGCAGCAGUGAGGAAUAUUGGUCAAUGGGCGCAAGCCUGAACCAGCCAUCCCGCGUGAAGGAUGAAGGCCCUAUGGGUCGUAAACUUCUUUUAUACGCCAAGAAAAUUUCGGACGUGUCCGGAACUGACGGUAGUGUAUGAAUAAGCAUCGGCUAACUCCGUGCCAGCAGCCGCGGUAAUACGGAGGAUGCAAGCGUUAUCCGGAUUCAUUGGGUUUAAAGGGUGCGUAGGCGGCUUUUUAAGUCAGUGGUGAAAUCUUGCCGCUUAACGGUAAAAUUGCCAUUGAUACUGACAAGCUUGAGUACAUUUGAGGUAAGCGGAAUGUGUAGUGUAGCGGUGAAAUGCUUAGAUAUUACACAGAACACCAAUUGCGAAGGCAGCUUACUAAACUGUUACUGACGCUGAUGCACGAAAGCGUGGGGAGCGAACAGGAUUAGAUACCCUGGUAGUCCACGCCGUAAACGAUGUUCACUCGCUGUUUGCGAUACACAGCAAGCGGCCAAGCGAAAGCAUUAAGUGAACCACCUGGGGAGUACGAUCGCAAGGUUG